AUGAACGCUGGCGGCGUGCCUAAUACAUGCCAGUCGAGCGAACAGAUGAGGGGCUUGCUCCUCUGACGUUAGCGGCGGACGGGUGAGUAACACGUGGAUAACCUACCUAUAAGACUGGGAUAACUUCGGGAAACCGGAGCUAAUACCGGAUAAUAUAUUGAACCGCAUGGUUCAAUAGUGAAAGACGGUUUUGCUGUCACUUAUAGAUGGAUCCGCGCCGCAUUAGCUAGUUGGUAAGGUAACGGCUUACCAAGGCAACGAUGCGUAGCCGACCUGAGAGGGUGAUCGGCCACACUGGAACUGAGACACGGUCCAGACUCCUACGGGAGGCAGCAGUAGGGAAUCUUCCGCAAUGGGCGAAAGCCUGACGGAGCAACGCCGCGUGAGUGAUGAAGGUCUUCGGAUCGUAAAACUCUGUUAUUAGGGAAGAACAAAUGUGUAAGUAACUAUGCACGUCUUGACGGUACCUAAUCAGAAAGCCACGGCUAACUACGUG
RNAcentral lists this ribosomal RNA (496 nucleotides) under uncultured bacterium. RNAcentral describes it as "partial 16S ribosomal RNA". It matches the Rfam family "Bacterial small subunit ribosomal RNA", at positions 29 to 507 of the family's 1533-position model. The record is from RNAcentral.